Molecule: non-coding RNA, 23 nt
Filed under: Mus musculus (house mouse)
Lineage: Eukaryota; Metazoa; Chordata; Mammalia; Rodentia; Muridae
Source: RNAcentral
UGAAGCAAGAGCUUGAGGCGGCC